This 522-nucleotide ribosomal RNA is filed under the name uncultured bacterium. RNAcentral's name for it is "bacterial SSU rRNA". It matches the Rfam family "Bacterial small subunit ribosomal RNA", at positions 777 to 1297 of the family's 1533-position model. The record is from RNAcentral.
AAUAGAUACCCGGGUAGUCCACGCCGUAAACGAUGAGUGCUAAGUGUUAGAGGGUUUCCGCCCUUUAGUGCUGCAGCUAACGCAUUAAGCACUCCGCCUGGGGAGUACGGUCGCAAGACUGAAACUCAAAGGAAUUGACGGGGGCCCGCACAAGCGGUGGAGCAUGUGGUUUAAUUCAAAGCAACGCGAAGAACCUUACCAGGUCUUGACAUCCUCUGACAACUCUAGAGAUAGAGCGUUCCCCUUCGGGGGACAGAGUGACAGGUGGUGCAUGGUUGUCGUCAGCUCGUGUCGUGAGAUGUUGGGUUAAGUCCCGCAACGAGCGCAACCCUUGAUCUUAGUUGCCAGCAUUUAGUUGGGCACUCUAAGGUGACUGCCGGUGACAAACCGGAGGAAGGUGGGGAUGACGUCAAAUCAUCAUGCCCCUUAUGACCUGGGCUACACACGUGCUACAAUGGAUGGUACAAAGGGCUGCAAGACCGCGAGGUCAAGCCAAUCCCAUAAAACCAUUCUCAGUUCGGA